UGGAUAAUUAUCUGACUGUGCUCUUCAUUUUCAGCACUGCUAGUGACCCCGGCUGCCUCCGCGGGACCUGGGGAUAAAACAUGGGUUGUGUUGAAUUCAAGCUUUAUUACGACUCAAAAGAAUCAGUUUCCUGCGAUCCCGUCUCGCGUACAUGAUGGCUCCAGAAGUGAUGGCAGCGAGGAGCCAGUCCCCUUCCUCCUGGGGCCCAGACCCACAACAAGCCUGCCGGCGACAACACCACCAAUACAAUGUUUUCGAGUAGAAUGCAUUUCUCAUUUCUAAAUGGGGGUCUGCUGAAAAGCAGGACUCAAUAUACGUCAGUUUAAAGUUUUUGGAAAGCUCCAUGCUCAGUUGGUUCCUGAUCUAAGACAGAUUUGGGCUGUGCUUAGGCUACGGAUGACAGAGCAAGAUAUGGAGAGCUGACCCUUCUGGGAAACGAAUAAAAACAAGGACAAGAAAAAAAAAAAUCAAGAAAGGACCUAGCUUGGUUUUAGUUUGUUUAAAGUCACAAGAUGAAAUAUAUAUAUCCCUAAAACUAAAUUCAAAUGCACAUUACCUCUGGGCUAUUAAAAUGAUCGCUCAUUUCCAUGAAGGAAAUAAGAAAUAAUUAUACUUUAAAAUCACCUAACAAAAGUAGUUCAUUAAAAAGAAAACAUGUGUGAAGCACAUAAAAGAAAGGUGUGAGAAAGGAAGAAGAAUCCAACUUACAAAGUC
Eptesicus fuscus (big brown bat) is the source of this 714-nucleotide long non-coding RNA. RefSeq lists it as uncharacterized. The record is from RefSeq and is a predicted model, not a curated record. NCBI's taxonomy places the organism in Eukaryota, Metazoa, Chordata, Mammalia, Chiroptera, Vespertilionidae. The transcript has 3 exons.